UAAGUAGUAGCUAAGUUUAAGCACUUCAUUUACGAUGUAGCGAUCGUCUGUAAGACGCUACUUAA
RNAcentral lists this transfer RNA (65 nucleotides) under Lysmata boggessi. RNAcentral's name for it is "tRNA-Val". The record is from RNAcentral. Lineage: Eukaryota; Metazoa; Arthropoda; Malacostraca; Decapoda; Hippolytidae.